Paramuricea clavata is the source of this 229-nucleotide non-coding RNA. The record is from the annotation of a GenBank genome assembly. Lineage: Eukaryota; Metazoa; Cnidaria; Anthozoa; Malacalcyonacea; Plexauridae.
GUUUUAAAUAAUACGUAACUUGAUAAACAUUUAUUUCAUUCACAUGUAAAUGCAAUACAAUAUUACAAUAAUUAAUAAAUCGUCAUGGUUGUUCACUUGUGUGUUCCUAAUCCUUUACAGGCCAUUAGUCUUAAACAAACUAAAAAUAUAUACACAUCGAACACCUACCUUAUUGCUUUUCUCUGGCAUAUCAUUAAUUUAAACUUUUAUUUCUCAUUUUUUUAUCGAU